UGCCAGGAGACAGCAUUUAUCCGUGGUGA
This 29-nucleotide non-coding RNA is filed under the name Rattus norvegicus (Norway rat). The record is from RNAcentral. Lineage: Eukaryota; Metazoa; Chordata; Mammalia; Rodentia; Muridae.